CACCAUCAUUAAAGAAGAACUAACGAGUCUACUUGAUUCUAUGUCUGUCUCUGUAAUAACGUAAAAUAAAACGAGAAAUGGGAUUCAUUCACAUCACAUCUCCUCACUUUACGUACAUCAAGCACGACCGAUUCACCUACUACUAACUUUAGUCAGAUAGGUCGGAAGGAGAUGAAGAUUUCCUUUAUAAUCCUGCACUUUGUUUUCCUAUGCAAGUAAGUAAUCCAUUCAACAUUACGGUAGAGAGAGAUCACGAUGAUGAUAUGAAUAUCAGGGUAAAAAAUACCGAGUCGAAAUCUCCACCAAAAAUCCAUCGCACAACAGAAUCUAAAUACACUGGGAAAGCUUGCCUAUGCAGAACUUUACGAAAAAAGAGGGUAAAAAAAUUGUGACACUAAUUUCAAGACAUAAUUAUGUAUGCCUCGGUAUAGUAAAGAUUGACAACAAAGCAUUUCUUGUUUAAUGUCGCAUUUCACGGAACCAAAUUGCAGCACCUUGUAAACGCUCGCGUAAAAAUAAAAACUAAAUAUGUAAUUGUGUAUGCAUCUGGUUCAGACAAUUCGGUGUGAAGUUAUAAAUACUGAUGUUUUUUACAUAAAUAAAUAAGUACGGGUAAUUGGGUUGGUAUUAUUGCGCGUUGAUUUUAUUCAAGUCUAUUUAUCAUUUUGUGCUCGCCUUUAAAUGCAAGUCUGUUAUUUAAUUGUCUUUUCUUCAAAUUUUCUCGUUAUAAUGUAAUAAUACAGGAAUUUCAUGAAAAGUUUAAACA
Molecule: long non-coding RNA, 766 nt
Organism: Folsomia candida
Lineage: Eukaryota; Metazoa; Arthropoda; Collembola; Entomobryomorpha; Isotomidae
Exons: 2
Source: RefSeq, a predicted model, not a curated record